Non-coding RNA from Podarcis lilfordi (Lilford's wall lizard), 85 nucleotides. Lineage: Eukaryota; Metazoa; Chordata; Lepidosauria; Squamata; Lacertidae. The record is from the annotation of a GenBank genome assembly.
GCCAGUGUGGUGUAGUGGUUUGAGUGUUGGACUAGGACUUGAGAGAUCUGGGUUCAAAUCCCCACAGCUGUGAAGCUCAUUGACG